Long non-coding RNA from Melospiza melodia melodia, 1036 nucleotides. RefSeq lists it as uncharacterized. The transcript has 4 exons. The record is from RefSeq and is a predicted model, not a curated record. NCBI's taxonomy places the organism in Eukaryota, Metazoa, Chordata, Aves, Passeriformes, Passerellidae.
ACCUCAGCAGCAGCUGGGAUGGGAUCUGAGCUGCAGCUGCUGAGGGGCUGCUCUGGGCUGGGCAGCUCCUCGCUAUGCCCUGGGUCUGGUGGCCAAGGAGGGACAGCAGGGCCUUCCUGGACUCUGCAGGGCUGUCCCCAUGGUCUGAUGGCCAAGGACAUCACAGGGACAGCAGAAUUGUCCUGAGCCCUGCAGGGCUGCUCUUGUAGUGAGGAGCUGCUCCGCUGCACCAGGCUCUGCUGGUUUUGGGGUCUUGCUGCCCAUCCAAACCCUUCCUCCUCAUCCUCUGGAACAAGCUGGAGCCCUCACCACUCACUCCAAGGCCGUAUUUCGUCGUGGUUUUGGCGGUAACCUGGGAACAGAGAGAUCUCCAAGGUUUGAAAGGCUGCAGCUUGAGUCCAGAUCCCACAUGCUGAGAAGAAAGGAACCCAAACAGCUGACGCAGAGCUCAGACUAAACUAACUGCAAGCUCCCCAGGGACAUCACAAGAAGCCAAGGAGUGGCUGUGAGCAAGAGCCAGAGCCCGUGGGUCCUUGUCUCAGAUCCAGAUCUGUGCCAGAUCCAGGCUGGUGCUGGAGGAGUCAAACUUCUGACAGAAGGAAUAUCUCAGGGAGGAUCUCCGCAAUCAGCUUGACGGGGGCAGCUGGUUCCGCUUCCUCUGAGACACAGCCCCGGCACCGUUUGACUCGGCUGAUCAGAUAGGAGCUGCAUUACAAGGCAAUGCUGUGGUUUGCCUUAAUGUCCUGCCAAACUGCAUUUAUCUUCCCCACCCUCCCGGAGGAAGCCUGCUCAGGUCACAGCGUGGAGAGAAAUGUGGGAAUCCACAAAAUCAGAGGGUUUUGGGAAAGCUGCAAAAGGCCUCAGAGACAGCAGAACUGUGAUCGGAGCUAAGCAGCAGCCAUGAGAUUGGUCAGCAGAAAAAUUAUUUAAACUGUAGAAAAGCAAGGACAAAGAGAACAAUGGUCUGUGUAUUAAUGCUUGUCUAGAAUAACUCUCUAAGCUACAGAAAAGUUUAUCUAGCAAGAUAUUAGGAAGG